RNAcentral lists this ribosomal RNA (490 nucleotides) under uncultured bacterium. Its description in RNAcentral is "partial 16S ribosomal RNA". It matches the Rfam family "Bacterial small subunit ribosomal RNA", at positions 29 to 505 of the family's 1533-position model. The record is from RNAcentral.
AGUGAACGCUGGCGGUAGGCCUAACACAUGCCAGUCGAACGGCAGCACAGUAAGAGCUUGCUCUUACGGGUGGCGAGUGGCGGACGGGUGAGGAAUACAUCGGAAUCUACUUUUUCGUGGGGGAUAACGUAGGGAAACUUACGCUAAUACCGCAUACGACCUACGGGUGAAAGCAGGGGAUCUUCGGACCUUGCGCGAUUGAAUGAGCCGAUGUCGGAUUAGCUAGUUGGCGGGGUAAAGGCCCACCAAGGCGACGAUCCGUAGCUGGUCUGAGAGGAUGAUCAGCCACACUGGAACUGAGACACGGUCCAGACUCCUACGGGAGGCAGCAGUGGGGAAUAUUGGACAAUGGGCGCAAGCCUGAUCCAGCCAUACCGCGUGGGUGAAGAAGGCCUUCGGGUUGUAAAGCCCUUUUGUUGGGAAAGAAAAGCAGCAGGUUAAUACCCCGCUGUUCUGACGGUACCCAAAGAAUAAGCACCGGCUAACUUCG